This 827-nucleotide long non-coding RNA is filed under the name Olea europaea subsp. europaea. Lineage: Eukaryota; Viridiplantae; Streptophyta; Magnoliopsida; Lamiales; Oleaceae. The record is from RNAcentral.
CUUGCCAUGCAAAUUUCUACUUGCAAUCAAACGCACCAUAAAUUCCAAAUAUGCAUGGAUGUAGGUAAAUGUAUUAUAUCUGUAUUGAUAUUCUCCUCUUCCUUGGUGUUACAGGAGGUCUCACUUUGGCUUGGCUGUACCAUUGGCGGAAAUUGUCGUACACCAUUGCCAUGGAUGUUUAGAUCUCAUGUGUGUACGUUAAUCAAAGGCUGAAGCUGUAAGAAAAAUUGAAUCGGAGAAGAGUUCUAGGAAGGGUAAUCUGGCUUGAUAGCAUUUUCCCAAUUUUCGAGGUAGAGCUACGUAAAUCAUAACCCAAUUAUUGUUUUUCUUGUCCCACUUACCAGGAUGGCUAAAUAAUGGUACUCAUUUUGGUAACCCAUUAUUCUUGUGUUGGGCAUUUGGACCACUACUUUAACCUAAGCCUACUUACCUUAUUUGUCCACUCUAUUGGUUAAAUGGCCCAUCUCUCUUGCUGCCUCUAUGUCGUGAACUUACUGCUGCCUUUUUCUUCUUUACUCCUCCGUUCACUUUCGGUUUGCUCAUCUCUACUGCCUUUGUGGUUUGAUUCUUGUGUGAUAUUGGCUUCUUUUAUUGUCUCCUUUGUGGCUAAUCAAUAGCAACCGUAAGUGGAGGAACCAUUUUGGAAGUUUUGGGUUGUUGCUCGUUGUGGUGUUGAUUAGUUGGUGAACUGAGCCUGAUAAAGCCUUGGUGGUUUUAGUUUCUCACUUUACAUAAGAGAAUCUGUAGUGGCUAGGAACAUAUUUGGAAAAGUAGUCCUCUCUAAAAUGCAAAAGGAGGAUGAAGUAUUUCUUAAAUGCAAAUAGAAG